GUGGUGUCCACAUAGUACCACAUAUUUACAAAGCAAACUGCCACUGAUAUACAGUACUAGUGCAAUACAGUGCCAUUAGUAUAGGCAUAAUUAGUACCCCCUCCAAUCAUUCAGUAUAGAGCAAACAUAGUACAGGAAAUUGCCUACUCUAAAAAAUCUCUAGAUUCAACAUUUAUCUACAACUUAGAUUAUCAAAGCUGAACCCAAAGGAUGAUUCUGGCUACCAAGAUGUAAUGGAGAGCGACGAAUCUGCAUCAAUGAGGUGUCUGAAGUCUGAACCUUUCAUCUACCUAGAAGCCUAGAAGGGAUGGCAUGCGAUGAGGUGUCUGAAGUCUGAACCUUGCUCCAUAUAUAUCAUUCAGUUAUCAAGUUGCUGCAGCCUGAAUCUGCAUCAAUCCUCACCGCCUACUACUCCGGCAUCCACCGGUCCCAUCUCCCAUAGGCUGCGUCGCAGCAGAGGGGGCGAGGCAGAUGAGCGUGAGGGGGAGCAGAGAAGAUGUACAAUGAAGUCGCUGCCGAAGGUCUCAUCCGCCGUCCCAAGCUGCGCCCGCCGUCAAAGCCGACGUCACCGCCGCCGGAGCUGAAGACAGUAUCGUCAGGAUUGCAGAGAUAGUACCCCCUCAAGACCCGGCUCGGUCCCCGGCGCUUCCCGACGACGGCCUCUUCGAGAAACAUGGCGGUGACGGCGGUGAGAUGGAAGGAAGGGAUGGACUGGGGAGGCGUGCCGGUGGAGGCAGCGGCGACGGCGCCUAGGGCAUGUCGAACGCGGCGUUUUCUUCUUUGUUUUUUUGCUGAGGAAAACGUGAUGGCUGGGUGCGCGUGGAGUGUUGU
This 831-nucleotide ribosomal RNA is filed under the name Triticum aestivum (bread wheat). Its description in RNAcentral is "partial small subunit ribosomal RNA". The record is from RNAcentral. Lineage: Eukaryota; Viridiplantae; Streptophyta; Magnoliopsida; Poales; Poaceae.